GAGAAACUCGCCCGCAAGGGUGACUCUCCAACCCUAUGUUAAUUAUACCUUUGUUGCUUUGGCGAGCCGCUUCGGCCACCGGCUUCACGCUGGUGAGCGCUCGCCAGAGGACCCUAAACUCUGUUUAUUAGUGUCGUCUGAGUACUAUAUAAUAGUUAAAACUUUCAACAACGGAUCUCUUGGUUCU
This 187-nucleotide unclassified non-coding RNA is filed under the name rhizosphere metagenome. RNAcentral's name for it is "partial ribosomal RNA internal transcribed spacer region". The record is from RNAcentral.